This 218-nucleotide non-coding RNA is filed under the name Staphylococcus massiliensis S46. Its description in RNAcentral is "S. aureus tsr24 small RNA". It matches the Rfam family "S. aureus tsr24 small RNA". The record is from Rfam by way of RNAcentral. Lineage: Bacteria; Bacillati; Bacillota; Bacilli; Caryophanales; Staphylococcaceae.
AUUUUAUUAAAUAGUAAAUUAAAGAAAUUGUUAGAUUAAACAGCUGAACCUGUUGUCUUAUUAAAAGAGUAAUAGUACUUACUAAGUGAAUAAACUUUAAAUUUCCUAACAGCUGACUCCUAGGGGAGUAGCGUGAGUCCGGAGACUACAGGCUCCGGCCACGCCCCAGGAAAGCAUGCUGUUAGGAAAUUAGACUUUAAAUAUAAAAAGGAUCCAAG